This 338-nucleotide small nuclear RNA is filed under the name Sorex araneus (European shrew). Its description in RNAcentral is "7SK RNA (ENSSARG00000018287.1)". It matches the Rfam family "7SK RNA". From Rfam's summary of the family: 7SK was discovered as an abundant small nuclear RNA in the mid-70s but a possible function has only recently been suggested. Two independent studies have found that 7SK RNA binds the CDK9/cyclin T complex (known as elongation factor P-TEFb). P-TEFb activates transcription by phosphorylating the C-terminal domain of RNA polymerase II. The record is from RNAcentral. Lineage: Eukaryota; Metazoa; Chordata; Mammalia; Eulipotyphla; Soricidae.
AGUUCUGGGCAAUCUGACUGAGACAUCUGUCACCCCACUGAUCGCCAGGUUUGAUUUGGCUGAUCUGGCUGGCUAGGCGGGUGCCCCCUUUCUCCCUCACUGCUCCACGUGCGUACCUGCCGAAGCUGCGUGCUUGGUUGAAGAGGACGGCCUUCCUUGAAUAGUGAUGGACCGGUCUUCAAUUGACGGUAUAGGAGUAGCAGCACUCCCCUGCUAGAACCUCCAAACAAACAAGCUCCCUAAACAAAUAACAACGAUAAUUUUAGUGUGUACAAGCCAAAUGCAAACUGAAAAAAUACAGAGGUGGAAAUAUUAAGAUAUGGUUAGAGGUCUAAGAC